This is a long non-coding RNA of Oncorhynchus tshawytscha (Chinook salmon), 1462 nucleotides long. Lineage: Eukaryota; Metazoa; Chordata; Actinopteri; Salmoniformes; Salmonidae. The record is from Ensembl.
AAAAACAGUACACAGCAACACUGUUCCUCUCCAGGUUUCUUCCUAGGUUUCUGUCUUUCUGGGGAGUUUUUCCUAGCCACCGUGCUUCUACACCUGCAUUGCUUGCUGUUUGGGGUUUUAGGCUGGGUUUCUGUACAGCACUUUGUGACAUCAGCUGAUGUAAGCUGAUCAGGGCUUUAUAAAUACAUUUGAUUGAUUUUUAACGUGUUACUGAGUCAAGAUGUUAUCACAUCAGGAGAAGAACAAGCGAAGGAAGCAGCAUAGAGGAAGGUAGGGUGGCUUCAUGAAGACAAGAUGGAGAGUUCCACAGUGACUGCAGUUGAGGGACCACGGGGCAUAAAAGGCUUAGUGUGGAAUAAGGGGUAACUAGAGGGAUGGUUGGCCGUGGGAUUAACAUAACAUGGGGUGUGGGUGUGCUUCUGCCUAGAGGGAUGGUUGGCUGUGGAAUUAACAUAACAUGGGGUGGGGUGUGGGUGUGCUUCUGCCUAGAGGGAUGGUUGGCCGUGGGAUUAACAUGGGGUGUGGGUGUGGGUGUGCUUCUGUCUAGAGGGAUGGUUGGCUGUGGGAUUAACAUGGGGUGUGGGUGUGCUUCUGUCUAGAGGAUGGUUGGCCGUGGGAUUAACAUAACAUGGGGUGUGGGUGUGGGUGUGCUUCUGCCUAGAGGGAUGGUUGGCCGUGGGAUUAACAUAACAUGGGGUGUGGGUGUGGGUGUGCUUCUGCCUAGAGGGAUGGUUGGCUGUGGGAUUAACAUAACAUGGGGUGUGGGUGUGCUUCUGUCUAGAGGGAUGGUUGGCUGUGGGAUUAACAUAACAUGGGGUGCUUCUGCACCUCUAUUAGAUCAUUAUAAUAAUAUCCGGCCCCUGUCCAGUCGUACUCCGGGUCAUCUAGCCAGUCUAAAGUUGCUAACCAUGAGCUAGUGUAGCCGAUGUGAAAUGGCUAGCUAGUUAGCAGUGGUGCGCGCUAGUGGCGUUUCAAAUCGGUGACGUCACUUGCUCUGAGACCUUGAAGUAGUAGUUCCCGCAGCUUUUGUGGAGCGAUGGGUAAGAUGCUUCAAGGGUGGCUGUUGACAUGUGCAGAGCGUCCCUGGUUUGCGCCCAGGUCGGGGCGAGGGGACGGACGUAAAGUCUAUACUGUUACACUAGAUAACAGGUAUUGUGUACAUUUUAAACUUUCCCAAGACAGUUCACUGUCAAUGUAUAUAUAUGUAUAUUUUUUUUUGUGAUUUUUUUUUUUUGUGAUUUAUUACAAAAUGUAGCUAAAAUAAUAUAGUUGUUUCAGAGAUUGUUACCUUCGAUUCGGCAGUGUCAUCAUCCUGGUUCUGAUGAGUGAGCUAGCUUGUUCCGUAUGAUAGCCACAUUAGCAGCUAAUUAGCAUUGAUAAAAGUCACCUUUGUCCUAGAGAGAUCUACACGGUUAUCAAAACGCCAGGAUAAACACAAAACACAGCCCUCAUUUGAAGUGUU